Long non-coding RNA from Pogoniulus pusillus (Red-fronted tinkerbird), 658 nucleotides. RefSeq lists it as uncharacterized. The transcript has 2 exons. NCBI's taxonomy places the organism in Eukaryota, Metazoa, Chordata, Aves, Piciformes, Lybiidae. The record is from RefSeq and is a predicted model, not a curated record.
UAAGCUCUUGUCUCCUUCCUAUCAGAAGAGAAGCUCCCUUCUCUUACCAUCCUUUAGGUCACAAGUAACUCCUAUUUAGUAAGGGACAGACAUGCAUGCAAAUGACACAGAUGGAAACAAAUCCAACAAUAGCUUUCAAGGUGAUUGUGCUCAGCUGUUAACCCAAUCCACUUCUCCCUUAUAAGGUGAAAAUCCUUCUCUUCCUUCCAGCAGCCAUUUUCCCUCCCUCUCAUAACCACUCACCGAGGGUUCCCACUUGUCAGAACCCUGGUUGCACUUUCAAACCUGAGCAGUCAGCUUCUCUCCCCCACCAGUAACACUGUGUGACCUUACCUCUCUGCCUCACUUUCCAAGACCUCUCCUCCCAGAUGCCUUUCAGAAAUAAAAGCAUAGAAAGAGGGAAGGCAACCAGCUCUUUAGACCACAAGUAGGAGAGGAUGUAACACAUGUGCAAGCGCCACUGCCUCUUUUCUGGGAGGAAAUCCUUGAACAGCCUCUCCUUCUGGUAGCCAGCUGGCCAAGUGCAGGACUCCAGAGUGGGAGCAAAGUUCUUCUGAAUUACUAUGAGCACUCACUACCAUGUACAUCCUACAGAAUUGCAAGAUGACUGUCACACCACACUAGUGAUGGGCUUUUAAAAUACUUUUUGAUGAAGUAA